This 396-nucleotide ribosomal RNA is filed under the name uncultured bacterium. RNAcentral describes it as "partial 16S ribosomal RNA". It matches the Rfam family "Bacterial small subunit ribosomal RNA", at positions 523 to 918 of the family's 1533-position model. The record is from RNAcentral.
AUACGUAGGUGACAAGCGUUAUCCGGAUUUACUGGGCGUAAAGGGCGUGUAGGCGGUCUUGCAAGUCAGAAGUGAAAUUCCUGAGCUCAACUCGGGCGCUGCUUCUGAAACUGCAGGACUUGAGUGCUGGAGGGGAUAGCGGAAUUCCUAGUGGAGCGGUAAAAUGCGCAGAUAUUAGGAAGAACACCGGUGGCGAAGGCGGCUAUCUGGACAGUAACUGACGCUGAGGCGCGAAAGCGUGGGGAGCAAACAGGAUUAGAUACCCUGGUAGUCCACGCUGUAAACGAUGAAUACUAGGUGUGGGGGGACUGACCCCCUCCGUGCCGCAGUUAACACAAUAAGUAUUCCACCUGGGGAGUAAGAUCGCAAGAUUGAAACUCAAAGGAAUUGACGGGG